RNAcentral lists this long non-coding RNA (348 nucleotides) under Brachypodium distachyon (stiff brome). RNAcentral describes it as "long non-coding RNA (BDIS_LNC000516)". Lineage: Eukaryota; Viridiplantae; Streptophyta; Magnoliopsida; Poales; Poaceae. The record is from RNAcentral.
AAAUUUGCAAUAGCUGUAUGAAAUAUCUGCUUCUGCAUUGUCAUCCCAGCUUCUUUCUUUUUCUUCUUGUCUUUCUUCACAUUGUCUUUGCUGGUAUCAUUUACCGCCCUCAAGUCCGACUGUUCAGAUGCCUCCUUAACAACAGUAGUAUCAAACGUCUGCUUCUGCCCAGUCGUCUCAGCUCUUCUCCUCUUAUCCUCCUUAUUUUUUCUCUUGUCUUUCUUCACAUUAGCUUUGCUUGUAUCACCUUCGGCAUGCUCCAAACAGUGUUUUACUGCCAUCCAGCCUGACUUUUCGGCCUGCUCCUUACCAACACCGUGAUUUGUGCUACCAAAAACGUCUGAACUG